Molecule: long non-coding RNA, 3577 nt
Filed under: Mus musculus (house mouse)
Lineage: Eukaryota; Metazoa; Chordata; Mammalia; Rodentia; Muridae
Description: long non-coding RNA chr13:4249266-4252843
Source: RNAcentral
UGAAAUGCUCCUGUCCCUACCUCCUUCCCGAGCCCCAUCCCUGCAGAAGGCAACUGCUGGGUUUCCAAUUCUUUUCCAAGUUCAUUUUGUUUAUCCUGCUCCGCAAUCCCCUGAGCCAGAAGUGGAGGCUUACAUUCUCAAACCCUGAGUGUCUAGCCUUUUCCCUGUUGGAUUCUUAGUUUCUUGUGCUAUGCCUAGUGGCACCCAGGCUGGGGAGGACAUGGCCCCUGUCUGGGUUUUUAUAAAUGUCUUACUCAAGCUCAAACCGCCAGCUGGUGAAAUCAACCAUGUCUCUGACUUGAUUAGCAAGUGUUAGGCUUCAAGCAGGAGGGAGGUCUGUAAUGUGAAACAACUUCUUGCUGUUCUUUUUUUCCUCUCCCAUUGUUGUAAAUAACUUUUAAUGGCCUAACCCCAGAUUUGUACCUUUUUUUUUUUUUUUCCUAACUGCUGAAACCAUUCUUCUACCCGGAUUGACUGUAACAUUUGGAAAACGAAUAAAUGUUGUCCCUUUUUUAAAAAAAUAAGUCAUUCUGUUGCUACGUUGCUUUAGCAGAGUAGUUAAGUUUUCCCUGGAUCCCAUGAACUACCUAGUCUCAGGUUCUAGGCUUCAUUAACCAUGUCAAGGUUAAUUGACACUGUUGGUCUUCGUAUGAGGUUGCUAUCCCCUUCAGCUCAUUCAGUCCUUCCCCUAACUCUUCCAUAGGAGUCCCUGACCUCAGCCCAAUGGUUGGCUAUGAGUAUCUAUAUCUGUCUCAGUAUAGGUAGGAAAGGGUGGGGCAAGGGAAGGGGGCAGAAUCAGGUAUGGGAGAAGACAAGCAAGAAGCCCAGAGGGCUAGGAGAAUGAAUGGAAAUAUGCAACUUCAAGGAGUUGGGGGUGAACCUUUCAAAAGUCCCAGAUAACUGGGGUGUGAGAGGCUUCCAGGACUCAAUGGGUAUGACCUUAGCUGAAAUGCCCAAAUGUAGAAACAAAAUGUCUAUCCAGUAAACAGACAGGGCUCUCAGUGAAGUAAUGGGGUCACCAAGCUAGCUUCAAAAUUUUUGACCCAUAAUUCUUCCUGACUAAAAGAAAUACUGAGAUAAAAAUACAGCAAAGAUUACAGGAAAGGCCAUCCAAUGACACCUUCACCUUGGGAUCCAUCCCCUUGGUGGACACCAAACCCUGACACUAUUACUGAUGCCCAGCCUAGCAUAGCUGUCCUUUCCAAUUUUUAACCCCUUGAUCUUUUGUUGUAUUUUUGCUUUAGCUAGAACUUCACACUGUAUUGAGUAGACAGGGAGUAGGUAGCCUUGCCUUGUCCCUGAUUUAAGUGGAAUUGCUCUACGUUUCCAUUCAAUUUGAUGUUGGCUAUUGGCUUGCUGUUUUUGGCUUUUCUUCUGUUUAAGUAUGUGCCUUGUAUCUUUGAUCUCUCCAAGACUUUUAACCUGAUAAGGUGUUAGAUUUCACCAUCUAAUGAGAUGAUCAUAUGAUUUUUUUAUCUGUAUUUUUUGUUUGUUUGUUUGUUUAUAUAGUGGAUUACAUUGAUAGAUUUAGAACCAUCACUACUUGAAGACUACUUGAUCAAGGGUAAAUCAUUUUGAUGUGAUGUUUUUAAUGUGAUGUUAGAUUUGAUUUGCAAAAAUUGUAUUGAGUACUGUUGUGUCAAUGUUUCUAAAGGAAACUGGUCUGAAGUUGUCUUUCUUUCUUUCUUGAGUCCCCCUCCCUCCACUAGAAGUCCCACCUGGCUACUGGAACUGUCCUUUUCACUCUCUGCAUUUGCCCAUUUGCCGCUGCUUGAAGUCUCAGCUAGGGUCACCCCUAUAAACUAGAGGAAGUCUUCUCAGUCACAGAUCUCCAGCUAGCCUCAUAAGUGCCCCCCAUCAAUUUCCAUUUUUAAUCCCAGCCCCCUGUCCACACCUGAACCCCAUUUAUCAUUUCUAUAUAGGAGUGCUAUUUGAUUUUUGUGAGUUAAUUUUGUAUCCAGCUACUUUGCAGAAAGUGUUUAUCAGGUGUAGGAAUUCCCUGAUAGAUGUUUAGGGUCAUUUAUGUAUGCUGUUUUAUCACCUUCAAAUAAUAAUACUCUGAUUUCUUUCUCUUCCAUUUAUAUAGCCUUUGGUUUUCUUCAGUUGUCAUACUGCUCUAGUUCAAACUUCAAAUAUUAUAGUGAAUAGAGAGAGUGGACAGCCUUGUCUUAUUACUGCUUUUACUGGAAAUGCUUUGAAUUUCUCUCCAUUUAACUGGAUGUUGGCUAUAUCUUGCUGUUAAUUCCCUUCAUUAUGCUUAGAUAUGUCCCUUGAAUUCCUUGUAUCCCUUGUAUCCCUAAUCUCUUCAGGACCUUUAUCGUGAAGGAAGGUUGGAUUUUGGCAAAGGCGUUUUCUGCAUCUAUUGAGAUGAUUAAGUAGUUUUUUUUUUCAGUUUGUAUUGUGGAUUACAUAUGUCGAUAUUUGCAUGUUGAAGCAUCACCACAUCACUAGGAAAAAGCCUCUUUGAUUGUGGUGGAUGAUCUUUCUGAUGUGUUCUUGGAUUCCAUUGCAAGUAUUUUAUUGAGUAGUUUUGCAUCUAUGUUCAUAAGAGAAAUUGUUCAUAAAGGCAGUUCCUUUUCUUUGUUGGGUCUUUAUGAGGUUUUGGUAUUAACUAUACUAUGGCUUCAUAAAAUGAAUUGGAUAAUGUUCCUUCACAGUCUAUUCCAUGCAAUAAUUUGAGGAGCAGUGGCAUUAACUCUUUAUUGACUGUCUGCUAGAAUAUUGCACUAAAACCUUCUGACCCUGAACAUGUUGGUGACUUUUAUUGACUGUUCUAAUUUACGAGGGGGAUAUAGCCUUCUUUAAAUUACGUAUUUUAUCUUGAUUUAAGUUUGGUAAGUGGUACAUAUCAAGGAAAUUAUCCAUUUCUUUUACAUUUUCCAAUUUGGUGGAGUACAGGUUUUUAAAGUAUAGCCUUAUGUUUUCUGGACUUCCUUGGUUUCUGUUGUUAUGUACCCUUUUUUGUUUCUGCUUUUGUCGAUUUGCAUUUUCUCACUCUACCUUUGAGUUAAUUUGGAUCAGGAUUUGUUGAUCUUAUUGAUUUUCUCAAAGAACCAAUUCUUUGCUUCAUUAAUUAUUUGUAAAAUUUUCUUUGUUUCUAUUUUAUUGGUUUUGGCACUCAGUUUUUUGCCAUCUACUGAUUUGGGGUGUUGUUUCUUCUUUUUCUUAAGCUUCCAGGUAUGCUACUAAGUUCUUUCUAUAAGAUAUUUUCUAUUUUUUAAAUGUUGACCCUUAGCACUAUGCACUUGCCUCUUAAAACAGCUUUUAUUGUUUCCCAUAAGUUCAAGUUCAAUGUGUAUUAGUUUUCAGUCAAUUUUAGAAAAUCUUAAUUUCUUUCUUAAUUUCUGUCUCUACCUAUUUUUGGUUCAGUGGAGAGUUCUUCAGUUUUUAUAAGUUUUUAAAAUUUAUGUGUUUAUUUCUUGUUGUCAAUAUCUGUUUUUAAUCCAUGGUGAUCUCGUAGGAAUUAUUUCAAUUUUUUUGUAUCUCUUGAGACUUGCUUCAUGUUUGAGUAUAUAGUGAAUUUUGGAGAAAGUUUUAUGAAGUGCAGAAAGGAAUGCAUAUUCAUUUUUGUUUGGUG